This 206-nucleotide long non-coding RNA is filed under the name Bos taurus (domestic cattle). RNAcentral's name for it is "long non-coding RNA NONBTAT023668". The record is from RNAcentral. Lineage: Eukaryota; Metazoa; Chordata; Mammalia; Artiodactyla; Bovidae.
GCCUCCAAUUGCAGUCACUGGUUAAAAACCAUUCCUAAAAGCUGACCAUAUGCUUCUGGAUGGGUGUAACUGAUCCAAACCAGAAGCCCCUGGGCCUCACUCACCUGGACUAAAAGGAGGCUGUGGAGGGCCCUGUGGUUUCACCCCAGGACUCAGUCCUAGGAAUAUGUAAGAGGGCGUGGCUCUGCCAGCAGGAAGCUGUACUC